This 274-nucleotide ribosomal RNA is filed under the name uncultured bacterium. RNAcentral describes it as "partial 16S ribosomal RNA". It matches the Rfam family "Bacterial small subunit ribosomal RNA", at positions 523 to 796 of the family's 1533-position model. The record is from RNAcentral.
AUACAGAGGGUGCAAGCGUUAAUCGGAAUUACUGGGCGUAAAGCGUACGUAGGCGGUUUGGUAAGUCAGAUGUGAAAGCCCUGAGCUUAACUUGGGAACUGCAUUUGAAACUGCCUGACUAGAGUGUGGUAGAGGAUAGUGGAAUUUCCGGUGUAGCGGUGAAAUGCGUAGAGAUCGGAAGGAACACCAGUGGCGAAGGCGGCUAUCUGGAUCAACACUGACGCUGAGGUACGAAAGCGUGGGGAGCAAACAGGAUUAGAUACCCCAGUAGUCC